ACCCCACUGCUAUCGGGAUAGGACUAAGACAUGCUAGUUGAGCGCUUCCAGCCAACACGGGAGCGCAGCGCACAGCUCAGUAACACGUGGCUAAUCUGCCCUUGGGACCGGAACACCCCCGGGAAACUGGGGCUAAUUCUCGAUAGGUGAAGAACUCUGGAAUGAGUCUUUGCUAAAAAGACGCUUGCGUUAUGCUCGUAGGCGUUGCCCAAGGAUGAGGCCGCGACCGAUCAGGUUGUUGGUGAGGUAAUGGCUCACCAAGCCUUUUACCGGUGCGGGCCGUGAGAGCGGGAGCCCGGAGAUGGGCACUGAGACAAGGGCCCAGGCCCUACGGGGCGCAGCAGUCGCGAAAACUUUGCAAUACACGAAAGUGUGACAGGGCUAUCCCGAGUGCCAUCCGCUGAGGAAGGCUUUUACCCAGUCUAGAACGCUGGGGGAAUAAGGAGAGGGCAAGUCUGGUGUCAGCCGCCGCGGUAAUACCAGCUCUCCGAGUGGUGUGGAUGUUUAUUGGGCCUAAAGCAUCCGUAGCUGGCUAAGUUAGUCCCUUGUUAAAUCCACCGAAUUAAUCGUUGGAUUGCGGGGGAUACUGCUUGGCUAGGGGACGAGAGAGGCAGACGGUAUUUCCGGGGUAGGGGUGAAAUCCUAUAAUCCCGGGAAGACCACCAGUGGCGAAGGCUGUCUGCUAGAACGCGCCCGACGGUGAGGGAUGAAAGCUGGGGGAGCGAACCGGAUUAGAUACCCGGGUAGUCCCAGCUGUAAACGAUGCAGGCUAGGUGUUUGGACGGCCACGUGCCGUUCUAGUGCCGCAGGGAAGCUGUUAAGCCUGCCGCCUGGGGAGUACGAUCGCAAGAUUGAAACUUAAAGGAAU
Molecule: ribosomal RNA, 868 nt
Filed under: uncultured crenarchaeote
Lineage: Archaea; Thermoproteati; Thermoproteota
Description: bacterial SSU rRNA
Rfam family: Archaeal small subunit ribosomal RNA
Source: RNAcentral